Molecule: ribosomal RNA, 191 nt
Filed under: uncultured Pseudomonadota bacterium
Lineage: Bacteria; Pseudomonadati; Pseudomonadota
Description: uncultured proteobacterium partial 16S ribosomal RNA
Rfam family: Bacterial small subunit ribosomal RNA
Source: RNAcentral
GAAAAACUUGGGUCGGGAUCACUGGGCGUAAGGGCGCGUAGGCGGCGUGCCAAGUCAGAUGUGAAAGGCCACGGCUCAACCGUGGACGUGCAUCUGAAACUGGCAUGCUUGAGUACUGGAGGGGAGUGUGGAAUUCCUGGUGUAGAGGUGAAAUUCGUAGAUAUCAGGAGGUUUUUCCCCAAAAAAAAAAA